UAAGCAUUGAUGAACAGUAACAUAUAAGAAGAACCCAUUAGGAAGUGGGAUCUUCUAUGAAAUACAUUUGUUACGCUUGGCUUCUGAGCUUU
RNAcentral lists this small nucleolar RNA (92 nucleotides) under Macleaya cordata. Its description in RNAcentral is "Small nucleolar RNA R24". It matches the Rfam family "Small nucleolar RNA R24". Rfam says of the family: snoR24 is a C/D box small nucleolar RNA which acts as a methylation guide for 18S ribosomal RNA in plants. Lineage: Eukaryota; Viridiplantae; Streptophyta; Magnoliopsida; Ranunculales; Papaveraceae. The record is from Rfam by way of RNAcentral.